This 449-nucleotide ribosomal RNA is filed under the name uncultured bacterium. Its description in RNAcentral is "partial 16S ribosomal RNA". It matches the Rfam family "Bacterial small subunit ribosomal RNA", at positions 29 to 523 of the family's 1533-position model. The record is from RNAcentral.
AACGAACGCUGGCGGCAGGCUUAACACAUGCAAGUCGAACGAGAUCUUCGGAUCUAGAGGCAGACGGGUGAGGAACACGUGGGAACAUCCCUUUCAGUUCGGAAUAACGUUGGGAAACUAACGCUAAUACCGGAUACGUCCUUCGGGAGAAAGAUUUAUCGCUGAAAGAUUGGCCCGCGUCUGAUUAGCUAGUUGGUGAGGUAACGGCUCACCAAGGCUACGAUCAGUAGCUGAUCUGAGAGGAUGAUCAGCCACAUUGGGACUGAGACACGGCCCAAACUCCUACGGGAGGCAGCAGUGGGGAAUAUUGGACAAUGGGCGCAAGCCUGAUCCAGCCAUGCCGCGUGAGUGAUGACGGCCUUCGGGUUGUAAAGCUCUUUUGUCCGGGAGGAUAAUGACUGUACCGGAAGAAUAGGCCCCGGCAAACUUCGUGCCAGCAGCCGCAGUAA